RNAcentral lists this ribosomal RNA (207 nucleotides) under uncultured bacterium. RNAcentral's name for it is "partial 16S ribosomal RNA". It matches the Rfam family "Bacterial small subunit ribosomal RNA", at positions 568 to 774 of the family's 1533-position model. The record is from RNAcentral.
CGCGUAGGUGGUUUGUUAAGUUGGAUGUGAAAGCCCCGGGCUCAACCUGGGAACUGCAUCCAAAACUGGCAAGCUAGAGUACGGUAGAGGGUGGUGGAAUUUCCUGUGUAGCGGUGAAAUGCGUAGAUAUAGGAAGGAACACCAGUGGCGAAGGCGACCACCUGGACUGAUACUGACACUGAGGCACGAAAGCGUGGGGAGCAAACA